This 497-nucleotide ribosomal RNA is filed under the name uncultured bacterium. Its description in RNAcentral is "partial 16S ribosomal RNA". It matches the Rfam family "Bacterial small subunit ribosomal RNA", at positions 35 to 507 of the family's 1533-position model. The record is from RNAcentral.
GGGGGGGGGGGGGGGGGGGGCGGGGGCGGGCGGGGCGGGCGGGGGGGCGGGGGGCUUGCGCCGCUGGCGGUGGCGGCGGACGGGUGAGUCACCCGUGGCUGCCCUACCUAUACGACUGGGAUAACUGCGGGCACCCGGCGCUCAUACCGGAUAAUCUAUUGAACCGCAUGGUGCAAUAGUGCAAGCCGGUUUUGCUGUCACUUAUAGAUGGAUCCGCGCCGCAUUAGCUAGUUGGUAAGGUAACGGCUUACCAAGGCGACGAUGCGUAGCCGACCUGAGAGGGUGAUCGGCCACACUGGAACUGAGACACGGUCCAGACUCCUACGGGAGGCAGCAGUAGGGAAUCUUCCGCAAUGGGCGAAAGCCUGACGGAGCAAUGCCGCGUGAGUGAUGAAGGUCUUCGGAUCGUAAAACUCUGUUAUUAGGGAAGAACAAAUGUGUAAGUAACUAUGCACGUCUUGACGGUACCUAAUCAGAAAGCCACGGCUAACUACGUG